GGUGUUAUCGUGUGAUAGCCCGCGGUGAUAGGCGUUCUUUCGUGUAGCUGUGAAUAUCAUUUUGAACUGGUUAGCGGGUUGCUGCACUGUACGUAGUACCGGUAGCAAUACAUGCGUGUUCCUGCACUGUCACUGAAUUUCCGCGCAGUAUACGCGAACCGAGGAGGCCCUGUGUAGUGUUUGCCAGCAAUAGUGCUCAGAAAACUUUUUUAUUGUUCCAUCCAAGCAGAUGCCCGUAAGCAUGGCAUGUGAUGAGAAGCUGUCCGAGGCGUUUGAAAGAGCGCUGAGACUCUCUCCGAAAGUGAAGGACGCUCCAAAUUUUGUCACACCUCAGAAGCGUCCGUUGCUGGGUCGUCAUUGCUGGUCAUCUGCUCGGCGGCGCCCCUCCUUUCUGAAUAGCUCCAGCAGCGAAGAUGAAUUGAAAACAUCUGUGGAAAGGAAGAAGGAGAGGAAGCCGGCUGUUCCCUCGCGUGUCAUGAUGCCAUGCACCACAGCAAAGGCACUACUGGACGAGGACGCCUGGUUUCUCGAAUCUCUGUCUGAUAGCACACCGCUGGACAAGUGUCAUCCCGACACACUCAAAUUUAGGCAGCGAUUCAAGGACUCUCGGGAGGACCUCUCAAAUGCCCUUUUUUUACUUUUUAACAGGGAGAUCUUUGCUCACAAGCUUCCUCCGGGCGAAAUUUCCUGGAACAGCCGGUUGACGUCAACAGCGGGCCGAUGUUUCAAUUUGGCUGAUUACAACUACCGUGUGGAGCUCUCGGCAAAGAUUCUCCACAAUGCGGAAUACACAAGAGACACUCUACUGCAUGAACUAUGCCAUGCGGCAGUUUGGUGCGUGCACAAUUACAAGCGAGGUGGCCAUGGUGAACUGUGGAAGUUCUGGGUGGAUCGUGCUGCCCGAAGAUUCCCCAAGCUUCCCCCUGGUCAAAGAUGUCACAACUACAAGCAGUCACGAUCAAGGAAACUUACCUUCAAUUGAUGUCCACGCUGCCUGUAAUCCUUUUUUUUUUUUCUCAUUAAGCAGCACUGGACACCGGACAGCAAGAUAAUCAUGUAUAUACGCUGCCAACGGCAACACAGGCCAUGUACAAUCUUGAGUGUGUACAACUUUUAAGUAUGACCAAUCAAUUGACAAGGCAGCUGGUUGCCACACCCUAAUUUACUUGAAAUUAAACUUUUGGAGGUCACCCUCGAAGGACACGUGAAAAAGCUACGCUGGUUCUCAACAUUCCGAGAUGGAAUUGCUUUGAAAGCGGCAACAGAAGAGUUCUCAAUUAAUUCUCUGGGCAAACGAUUCCAAUCACGGAUGGUACGGGAGGAGAAAGAAUGCAUGUAAGUGUUAGUUCUGCAAGAAAUUUCGCUAACUUUUUUUGAAUGGAAAGAAUGAGUGGGACGCUGCAUAAGAGGUUUCAAGUAUGUGCUUUUGUUGAUUCCAAGGUUAUCAUUGUUCAUAGGGAUUCUAGAUUUGCAGAAAUUAAUAGAGCAGUUGGCGAUGUUUUGCUUUUGGACGAAUUAAACAUGAAUCUAGCUGCCUUUUGCUGAAUAUUUUCUAGUUUUCUUAUAUUCGUAUUUGUGUGCGGAUCCCAUACUGCUGCAACGUAUUCGAGUGUUGGCCCUAUAUACGUUUUAUCGGCCAAAAGAUUUACAUCGCUUAAAGCUUUGGGAAGUGUUCACCGUAAGUAGCCUAGUUGUCUCAUGGCUUUCUUGUGUAUGUAGGUGACGUGAUCAUUUCAUCGAAGAUCAGAUAUAAUAAUUACCCCUAGGUAUUUGUAGCUUGAAACUACAGACAGAUUGUUACCGCUGAUACUAUACGUGAAAGUGAGUGGAUUCAUCUUACGCGUAAUUGUCAUUGCUACCGUUUUGCUGUGGUUUAUUUGCAUAUGCCACGAAGUACACCAAUUUGUAAUCCGGGCUAAAGAUUUGUUACGAGAAACCUGGUUAUCAGAACUGUAGAUUUCGUUAUAUAGGAUGCAAUCGUCUGCAAAUAAGCGAAUUUUUAGCGGAAUGUCUUGAGCAAUGUCGUUUAUGAAGAUAAAAAAGUAUAACGGCCCAAGGACAGAACCUUG
This 2069-nucleotide unclassified non-coding RNA is filed under the name Dermacentor andersoni. Its description in RNAcentral is "germ cell nuclear acidic protein-like". The record is from RNAcentral. Lineage: Eukaryota; Metazoa; Arthropoda; Arachnida; Ixodida; Ixodidae.